GAGGAGCUCGAGGUCUACAACUGGUAGAUCAGUAGUCUGCAGGCUAUGGACAGAGACACGUAGCCCUGAUGCUGGUAGUGCUUGUAAUCUGAGUCAAGUGAGCUGCGGAGAUAGCGAGAGCCACGCCGGACGUAUCUCGCUGAUAACAAACCAAGGGUUUAUUUUUCUUUUCCUUUCUGUUUAACUCCGUGGACGUGUGAACACACGACUCAUACUUGAAACGUAUGCGCUGGCGGUGAGUCGAUCCCUGUGAAUAGUGAGUGCCAAUAAGUCUACAGACCAAAAAUCAACUGAUAUUAACUAUUAUUGCACUGACUUUUUAAAAUGAAAACAAAAAGAAUGUUCGUGAUCAACUAAAAUUGUACCGCACUGCAAAACCAAUUGCCAUCCAACGCAGAAAAAUGGUCUCAACUCACAUUCACAAGUGGGCAGUCCGUUUGGUACUUGCAACGCUGGUGGUCUACCCAUUCUCCAACGCCAGCAUCCAACCGCUGGACUGGACGGAAUUGGCCAACGAGAUUGAUAACCAGCAAUGGUGCGGCAAGAGUAAUUAUUGCCACUCUCUCUAUGAGACAGAUGACGAAUCAACAACGGAAUUAUUCUCCAUCAAACACGGAAGGACCACAAUGAACCCGAGCGAAAUGGAAGAAAAACGCUUUUUGGAAAGGCCAUGCCGUUGCGAUGAGGAAUGCCAUAGAUAUGGCGACUGUUGUUACGACGCUCCGGCUGCCGACGUCGGCACCAGCAUCAGCAACAAUAACAUCAAAGGCGUGGAGUUCAGCAGAAAUUCGUUGGCGUGUUUACCUCUUCGCUUCAAAGAUAACGAUCACACUCCAGACCAAAAGUACUACAUUUACAUGGUCGAUAAAUGUCCGUCUACUUGGUUCGUCGACGGCGACGACGAAUCUCUACCGGCCUUGUGUCAGAAAAAACCAAACCAAUCGGACUAUACCCAUUUGAUGGACAUCCCCGUAUUGUCGCUUGACACCAACCAGACUUACGCCAAUGUUUUCUGUGCUCGAUGUCACUCGGAUGCUGCCCGGCUGGCUCGUUGGAAUGUUUCCAUCGAAUGCAACGAAGAUUUCGAUCAGCUUAAUAUCAGCCGAGCACAAAUAUUCAGUCAAUCCAAUUAUCAGCCGGGUUUGCGGCAAUGGGUUCUUUAUAACCCUUCUAUUGAUACCAUUGGCAGCAUUCGAUGUCACAUAGUUAUCGAUGAAUUCCGGAUGUUUUCAGAUUAUCUCAAAACGACAGGCAGCAGGAGAUGCUUACCGAGAAUAGAAAGUUGUGCUACCAAUUGGACAAGUGAGUCCGACAAAAUCAAAUGUCAUGCCUACACUUUUCUUGUUCAAACGGAACUCCCUCUGGGUUUCAGCAGACGGCACUUACAGCAGAACGUGUACAAGAAUGCCCACUGCGCCAAGUGCAACCAUGUCCAGCCUAAUGAAACUCUUUGCUAUUUUCCGAGGAGUACGGACUUGUUCAGAUUAAGAGCUCCUCUUCCAGGCGGCCGAAGACAAUAUUCGUUUUCAAUGUUAAUUGAUUUUGACUUUGGCGGAAGUGGAGCAGGAGGCGGAAGAAAUGAAAUUGUGUGUGGGCCCAAGGAAAUAUUUGACUACUUCCACGAUCGAUGCCAUGCAGUUAUUUGCGGUGCAAUGUUUGUCAACGAAGGAGGAACUUGCGUACCGAAAUCUGAGCUAAAAGUAGAUGGACCAACAGCCAGAAUUUGGCUCAAUUCAUCUUGCCAGCGAUUGGUUUUAACGGAGAAUCUGGAUUAUAUCCAGCUGGAAAACGGUUCGCUAAUUCUAAACUCUACUGGCGAAAUGCUUCAUCGGGAAGAUUACGAACCGAUUGAAGUCGGACAGAACGUCAGCAUUUGCUCGAUCCAACCGGACAGCUACUUCAAAUACGCCUCAACUGGGCAGCAUUACAUGUCCGAUAUUUGUUUAGCUAUUAGCGUCGUCUGCCUUGCCUUCCACAUAAUCGUUCACAUGAUCCUACCGAAAUUACGAAAUUUACCCGGUAAGAAUUUGCUUUCGCUCUCUUGCGCCCUCUUCAUGGCCCAGCUGCUCUUUUUGACGGGCAUCGGUCUUCGAGACACCGUCGGCUACCGCCUCUGUGCCACUCUGGGAGUGUUGACUCAUUGGUUUUACUUGGCAGCUUUCUUCUGGAUGAACGUCAUGGGCUUCGACAUUUGCCGGACAUUCACCGGGUCACUGAUCAGACACCGCGGCAUGCAAGGCCGUGGCCAGCGCUGCACUUUCAUUUUCUAUUCUUUGUACGCCUGGGGUUUUCCAACUUUGGUCGUUUCCCUGGGAAUCAUGUUGGAUUUAACCCACUUGAUGGACGACUACGCACCCGAAUACGGCACCCGCCUUUGCUGGAUCUCAAACAAGACUGGACUGGGUUUCUUUUUCAUCGUGCCUGUAGCCGUUCUGCUGUUGGAGAACAUGAUCCUCUUCAGUCUGACCGUAUUCUCCAUUUUGAAACAGAGGAGAGCCGCUCGGUUCGCAGUCGACAAGAAACAGUCCUACCGAAAGGCCGGCGAGAGCAAGUCGGUGACGGAAAGGCUCCAACUUCCGCCCGGUCCGACGGCCCCAACGGCCCCCAUGCGUCACAGUAGCACCGCCAACAGCAAGCAAAAGAUUCGCUUCAUCCUUUACAUCAAACUGGGUCUGAUUAUGGGAAUGGGCUGGAUCUUCGGCUUCAUAGCGGCUCUAGCCAAAAUUCCAGCUCUCUGGUACCCGUUUAUCUUCUUCAACGCUUUGCAAGGCGCCUUCAUCUUCGUGGCUUUUUGCUGCAAGCGCAAAAUCUAUUUUAUGCUGUACCAAUGGGCCACCAAUCGACCGCACCCAUCUGACUCGUCGUCAAGCAGCCGAACGACGGCUAGUUCCAACAAGCCUAGCACCAGCACUCAGAGGGCCAGCGUUGCCGUUGAACUACCCAGUAAUUUGGCAGUCGAAUUCGAAAGUCAUCCAACCAAUCGGUUCGUUCCCAUCGUCCAAGGCAGCACACAACCGGUCCGUCAACAGUCCCUUUCUAAGCAUCGUCAAUACUAAAAAAAAAUUCAAAACAAAUCAACAAAAUUAACCAUUGCAAAACGAUCCUCCUCUGAUGUAACCAACGAUCUUAUUUGGCUGACGAUCUUCUCUCUCUCUGCAAACUCUUUUUUUAUCUCUAUCUUUCGCUCUCUUGAAUGGCGCUGCAUGAUGAUGGACUCCGAUGGGGUUCCAAGAUGUGAGCAUACCUGUCAUUCGACCCAUCUCAGCAUAAAGUCGGAGAUGCAGCCUUCCUUAGCGGCCGAACGUCUGCUCCCGCAGGUGGCCGCGGUCGAGAUUGCUCGCAAUUGGAUCAGUUCCGCCUCGCCGGUCAGCCGGGCCAAACGAAAUCUGCCUCGAGUUGUCGUCACCAAACAUUUCGUCAACGAUGACGAAUUGCAUCCGGAUCCGUUCGCCAACGGGCAAAACUCCGUGUGCCAUCUCUACGUUCAAAAUAACAAUCACUCAUCAUUGUCCAAGUCCUGACUAUAGAUACUUAUUCCGUGUCCAUUUCACCUAUAUAGUAUAUCGCGCCGCUACAUAACCCUCUGUUGUUUUAAU
Molecule: unclassified non-coding RNA, 3596 nt
Filed under: Daphnia pulicaria
Lineage: Eukaryota; Metazoa; Arthropoda; Branchiopoda; Diplostraca; Daphniidae
Description: uncharacterized LOC124329363, transcript variant X1
Source: RNAcentral